GCAAGUCGAGCGGUAACAGAGGUAGCUUGCUACCUGCUGACGAGCGGCGGACGGGUGAGUAACGCGUAGGAAUCUACCCAGUAGCGGGGGAUAAGCCAGAGAAAUUUGGUCUAAUACCGCAUACGCCCUUCGGGGGAAAGCAGGGGAUCUUCGGACCUUGCACUAUUGGAUGAGCCUGCGUGAGAUUAGCUAGUUGGUGAGGUAAUGGCUCACCAAGGCGACGAUCUCUAGCUGGUCUGAGAGGAUGAUCAGCCACACUGGAACUGAGACACGGUCCAGACUCCUACGGGAGGCAGCAGUGGGGAAUAUUGCACAAUGGGCGCAAGCCUGAUGCAGCCAUGCCGCGUGUGUGAAGAAGGCCCUAGGGUUGUAAAGCACUUUCAGCAGUGAGGAAAGGUACGUAGUUAAUACCUGCGUACUGUGACGUUAACUGCAGAAGAAGCACCGGCUAACUCCGUGCCAGCAGCCGCGGUAAUACGGAGGGUGCGAGCGUUAAUCGGAAUUACUGGGCGUAAAGCGCGCGUAGGUGGAUUGGUCAGUCAGAUGUGAAAGCCCA
Molecule: ribosomal RNA, 556 nt
Filed under: uncultured bacterium
Lineage: Bacteria
Description: bacterial SSU rRNA
Rfam family: Bacterial small subunit ribosomal RNA
Source: RNAcentral